Molecule: ribosomal RNA, 402 nt
Filed under: uncultured prokaryote
Description: bacterial SSU rRNA
Rfam family: Bacterial small subunit ribosomal RNA
Source: RNAcentral
UGGGGAAUCUUAGACAAUGGGGGAAACCCUGAUCUAGCCAUGCCGCGUGAUCGAUGAAGGCCUUAGGGUUGUAAAGAUCUUUCAGUGGGGAAGAUAAUGACUGUACCCACAGAAGAAGCCCCGGCUAACUCCGUGCCAGCAGCCGCGGUAAUACGGCGGGGGCUAGCGUUGUUCGGAAUUACUGGGCGUAAAGCGCACGUAGGCGGGACAGAAAGUCAGAGGUGAAAUCCCAGGGCUCAACCUUGGAACUGCCUUUGAAACUCCUGUUCUUGAGGUCGAGAGAGGUGAGUGGAAUUCCGAGUGUAGAGGUGAAAUUCGUAGAUAUGCGGAGGAACACCAGUGGCGAAGGCGGCUCACUGGCUCGAUACUGACGCUGAGGUACGAAAGCGUGGGGAGCAAACA